This 301-nucleotide non-coding RNA is filed under the name Trifolium pratense (red clover). Lineage: Eukaryota; Viridiplantae; Streptophyta; Magnoliopsida; Fabales; Fabaceae. The record is from RNAcentral.
GCCGAGUUGGGUACCUCCAGCUUGUAACCCAAGUGGGGGUAUCAAGGUGUUGGAACGUGGCUCUUAGGAUUUGUCAGGUUGGGUUGGAGGUUGCCCCAUGUUGGCCUGCCUGCUCUAAGUUUAGAAAGUGAUCAAUGGUUUGUGGGCGAAGGCUUAAAAUUCAUUGGUCCUAAACAUGAUGGCAUUGCGUCCCGCUUUCUUCACAGAACAGCGAACACCUCCCGGUCUCGACAGAUGAGGAUAAUAGACCUUUGCACAGGAGGGAUUUACAGGCCUCUGCACUUCUGGCCCAUGAUGCUUG